This 252-nucleotide ribosomal RNA is filed under the name uncultured bacterium. Its description in RNAcentral is "partial 16S ribosomal RNA". It matches the Rfam family "Bacterial small subunit ribosomal RNA", at positions 524 to 776 of the family's 1533-position model. The record is from RNAcentral.
UACGUAGGGGGCAAGCGUUGUCCGGAUUCAUUGGGCGUAAAGAGCGUGUAGGCGGCCAGGUAGGUCGGUUGUGAAAACUGGAGGCUCAACCUUCAGAGGUCGACCGAAACCAUCUGGCUAGAGUCCGGGAGAGGAGAGUGGAAUUCCGCGUGUAGCAGUGAAAUGCGUAGAUAUGCGGAGGAACACCGAUGGCGAAGGCAAUCCCUGGGCCUGUACUGACGCUCAUGCACGAAAGCGUGGGGAGCAAACAGG